Molecule: ribosomal RNA, 126 nt
Filed under: uncultured Alcanivorax sp.
Lineage: Bacteria; Pseudomonadati; Pseudomonadota; Gammaproteobacteria; Oceanospirillales; Alcanivoracaceae
Description: partial 16S ribosomal RNA
Rfam family: Bacterial small subunit ribosomal RNA
Source: RNAcentral
UUGGACAAUGGGCGCAAGCCUGAUCCAGCCAUGCCGCGUGUGUGAAGAAGGCCUUCGGGUUGUAAAGCACUUUCAGUAGGGAGGAAGGCUUUGGGCUAAUACCCUGGAGUACUUGACGUUACCUAC